UGGGGAAUAUUGGACAAUGGGCGGAAGCCUGAUCCAGCCAUGCCGCGUGUGUGAAGAAGGCCUUUUGGUUGUAAAGCACUUUAAGCGAGGAGGAGGCUCUUCUAGUUAAUACCUAGGAUGAGUGGACGUUACUCGCAGAAUAAGCACCGGCUAACUCUGUGCCAGCAGCCGCGGUAAUACAGAGGGUGCGAGCGUUAAUCGGAUUUACUGGGCGUAAAGCGUGCGUAGGCGGCUGAUUAAGUCGGAUGUGAAAUCCCUGAGCUUAACUUAGGAAUUGCAUUCGAUACUGGUCAGCUAGAGUAUGGGAGAGGAUGGUAGGAUUCCAGGUGUAGCGGUGGAAUGCGUAGAGAUCUGGAGGAAUACCGAUGGCGAAGGCAGCCAUCUGGCCUAAUACUGACGCUGAGGUACGAAAGCAUGGGGAGCAAACAGG
This 430-nucleotide ribosomal RNA is filed under the name Pseudomonadota bacterium. RNAcentral describes it as "Proteobacteria bacterium partial 16S ribosomal RNA". It matches the Rfam family "Bacterial small subunit ribosomal RNA", at positions 355 to 776 of the family's 1533-position model. Lineage: Bacteria; Pseudomonadati; Pseudomonadota. The record is from RNAcentral.